GCAGUUGGGCAGUUGGCAGAGUGAUGCGAUGGGACCUACUCUUCGAUAUGUCCCUGUCACUGUACUACCGCUCUUUAUACGUCAAUGUAAUAUACAAUAAUCAAAUAAGGUUGGUAGCCAUGGCAUUGGUGCUGCUCUAGCUAGGCUUGGCCCAACCAUGGAGUCAUUGUACUUUAAACAAAACCUGUACUUCCUAUUUUAGGUUAUGC
This 209-nucleotide long non-coding RNA is filed under the name Gossypium raimondii (Peruvian cotton). Its description in RNAcentral is "long non-coding RNA (GRAI_LNC008628)". Lineage: Eukaryota; Viridiplantae; Streptophyta; Magnoliopsida; Malvales; Malvaceae. The record is from RNAcentral.